This 253-nucleotide ribosomal RNA is filed under the name uncultured bacterium. RNAcentral describes it as "partial 16S ribosomal RNA". It matches the Rfam family "Bacterial small subunit ribosomal RNA", at positions 524 to 776 of the family's 1533-position model. The record is from RNAcentral.
UACGGAGGGCGCUAGCGUUGUUCGGAAUUACUGGGCGUAAAGCGCACGUAGGCGGCUUUGUAAGUUAGAGGUGAAAGCCCGGAGCUCAACUCCGGAACUGCCUUUAAGACUGCAUCGCUUGAAUCCAGGAGAGGUGAGUGGAAUUCCGAGUGUAGAGGUGAAAUUCGUAGAUAUUCGGAAGAACACCAGUGGCGAAGGCGGCUCACUGGACUGGUAUUGACGCUGAGGAGCGAAAGCGUGGGGAGCGAACAGG